UCCCUCUUAGCUCAGUGGUAGAGCGCGUCACUAGUAAGUGCUGGAGCAGAAUCAGCAGAUGAUGUUCCCCUUAUCCAUGACGAGGUCAGUCGUUCAAGUCGGCUAGAGGGAA
Non-coding RNA from Arthromyces matolae, 112 nucleotides. The record is from the annotation of a GenBank genome assembly. NCBI's taxonomy places the organism in Eukaryota, Fungi, Basidiomycota, Agaricomycetes, Agaricales, Lyophyllaceae.